RNAcentral lists this ribosomal RNA (251 nucleotides) under uncultured prokaryote. Its description in RNAcentral is "partial 16S ribosomal RNA". It matches the Rfam family "Bacterial small subunit ribosomal RNA", at positions 524 to 774 of the family's 1533-position model. The record is from RNAcentral.
UACGGAGGGUGCGAGCGUUGUCCGGAAUCACUGGGCGUAAAGGGCGCGUAGGCGGCUCGGUAAGUAGGGGGUGAAAUCCUGCGGCUUAACCGCAGGGCUGCCUUCUAAACUGUCGAGCUCGAGCACGGUAGAGGCAGAUGGAAUUCCCGGUGUAGCGGUGGAAUGCGUAGAGAUCGGGAAGAACAUCAGUGGCGAAGGCGGUCUGCUGGGCCGUUGCUGACGCUGAGGCGCGACAGCGUGGGGAGCAAACA